GACGAACGCUGGCGGCGUGCUUAACACAUGCAAGUCGAACGAGUGGCGAACGGGUGAGUAACACGUGGGUGAUCGGCCUUGCACUACGGGAUAAGCUUGGGAAACUGGGUAUAAUACCGGAUAGUGCAAGAUGAGCUCGCGGCCUAUCAGCUUGUUGGUGGGGUAAUGGCUACCAAGGCGCGAAGGGUAGCCGGCCUGAGAGGGUGUACGGCCACAUUGGGACUGCGAUACGGCCCAGAGGCGUACGGGAGGCAGCGGGGGGAAAUAUUGUACAAUGGGCGGAAGCGUGUGGCAGAGACGCCGGGUGGGGAAUGAACGCUUACGGGUGGUAAACUCCUUUCGACAGGGACGCGGUACCUGUAUAAGAAGCACCGGCUAACUACGUGCCAGCAGCCGCGGUAAUAC
This 405-nucleotide ribosomal RNA is filed under the name uncultured bacterium. Its description in RNAcentral is "partial 16S ribosomal RNA". It matches the Rfam family "Bacterial small subunit ribosomal RNA", at positions 28 to 526 of the family's 1533-position model. The record is from RNAcentral.